This is an RNA transcript of Myiozetetes cayanensis, 6812 nucleotides long. It is a transcript of the gene named methyltransferase 8, methylcytidine, with no coding region annotated. The record is from RefSeq and is a predicted model, not a curated record. The transcript is spliced from 13 exons. Lineage: Eukaryota; Metazoa; Chordata; Aves; Passeriformes; Tyrannidae.
GCGGGGGUCGGGGAGAGGAGCCGGCGGGGCCGCCCACCCGUACCCGCGGAGCCGCACCGGGAGCUCUACCCCAGCCGGGCUGGCACCUGCGGGCCGGUGGCACCGGCCACCAGCCCUUUUGGAGCUACAUCCUAAAAGUUGUCACAGUUAUCAGUCUUGCCGGCAGAGCAGCUGAAGUCUGCGGAAAAACUUCUUUCCCUUGCUUGCCAGAGGGCAGGCGCCCACAUGGGGUGAAGGUUGAAUUGCUUUCAUUAAUAAUCAAACUAAAAGUAUUCCUGACUGUGCCUUGGAACAAGGAAAUAACUCCUAAUUUUAUCAGACAUUUCUUGCUGUCAUGACUUUGAGGUCUCUGAACAAAAUGAAUUUCAUUACAAGGCUUCCUGCUUUAUGUCUGAGGAAAAGCAAGAUGCAACACAGGCACCAAAGUAAUAGACGACCAGCUGUUCCACUUGGAUCACGGAUUUUAACUGAUCCUUCUAAGGUCUUUGAGCAUAACAUGUGGGACCACAUGCAGUGGUCACAAGAAGAAGAGGAGAGUGCCAAGAAAAAAGCAGCAGAAAACUCACUUGUGAAAGUUGAAUGGGAAGACCAAGAUAAAUAUGAAAGAGAAGCCAGUAAAUAUUGGAAUGAAUUUUACAAGACUCAUAAAAAUAACUUCUUCAAGGAUCGUAAUUGGCUAUUUCUGGAAUUUCCAGAAAUUCUUCCAGAAGAAAAGAGACAAGAAUUGAGGAGAGAAGAAAGAUCUUCAGAACACAGAAAAAUAAAUAGUACCAACAGGUUUUCACACAAAAAUGAAAUGUUUGAUGAAGGAGAAAAAUACUGGAAGAAAAAUUAUGGAGGUGGUUCUACUGCUGUACAAGGAUAUGUAUAUAAUAAAACCCAAGCAGAAACGCCUAGUGAAAAUCCUCAGGGUAAAAACUGUGGAGAAGAACUUGGCAGGCUAGAAUCUUUCCCUGGUAGUGAUGCCACUUACAGAAUAUUAGAGGUUGGUUGUGGAGCUGGAAACAGUGUCUUUCCUAUUUUGGAAGUUCUAUGCAAUACACCUGGAACCUUUCUAUACUGUUGUGAUUUUGCUUCAGGAGCAGUGGAGCUGGUAAAGUCACAUUCGUCCUACAAUUCAGCCUGGUGUUCUGCCUUUGUUCAUGAUGUGUGUGAUGAUGCUUUACCCUAUCCUUUUCCAGAUGAGAUCCUGGAUGUCAUUCUCCUUGUCUUUGUGCUCUCUACUAUUCAUCCUGACAGGUGGUGCUGCCUUUUCUGUCUGUGGCAGCACACUUGGUUGCUUUAUGUUUGCAAAUGUCACCAGUAUCCCGUCUAUUUUCUAAGGAUGCAAGGGGUUGUAAAUAGGUUGGCUAAGCUACUGAAACCUGGAGGAAUGUUGUUAUUUCGAGACUAUGGAAGAUACGAUACAGCUCAACUUCGGUUUAAAAAAGGUCAUUGCUUGUCAGAAAAUUUUUAUGUACGAGGAGAUGGAACCAGAGUGUAUUUCUUUACCAAAGAUGAGGUAUGGAACAUGUUCAGCUUGGCUGGAUUAACUGAAGUACAGAAUUUAGUUGAUCGGCGGUUACAAGUAAACAGGAAGAAAAAAGUGAAAAUGCAGCGAGUUUGGAUACAAAGCAAGUUCCAGAAACCGUUACUGUCUCUGCAUAAUCCUGAAGAAACCACCAAAAGGCACCCUUAUAAAUAAUUGCACUCUAGAAAUGUAAUACAGAAAUGAACUCCAGAAACUGAAGCAACAUGGAGCACUCCAAGAACAAGAUUUGGAGUAUUUAAGGGAUCUACUAAAGCUCAGAAAUGAAACAUAGGUCAUUUAAAACGAUGGAUCUUUCCAGAGUAAUAGCAAAGCUUGACCAUGUGAGAACAGAGUUUUCUCUGGAAACAGUUCAGCUCUGUCUCAGAAACUAGAGAUAAGGAACAUAAGUACCCAUGUUUGUGUGCACGUGUGUGUAAAACAAAAUAAAAAUUCCAAAACAAAGCAGGUUGACUCGCUCCUUCCCAGCUCUACAUAGACAGAAUCGCAGAGACAGCAGUUGUGUUGCUUUAUGCUUGCCUGAGGCAUGGUCAGGAAACAAUAUAGAAAUACAUAAAAACAUAGAAUGGAAAAAAUAAACUAAUGUGUAGAAAUAUCUUGCUGCUAUUUUGUUUGUCUCUCUGUGUAUUGUAAAUAAAUGAGUAUGUGCAGUUGACCGUGGAUUAUCCUUUACCCUUGAGGGUCUAAAAACUUAAUUUGGAGCAAGUUUUACAGGGUAUUUCACAACUUCUUUGGAUUUUUUUUUUUUUACUUUUUAAUAACUUGGCAUAUGAAUUUAUGAGUGUACUGUGGUCCUAUAAUCAAAAAGAAGAUCAAAAUAGUGACUAGAAUAAGUGAAAAAGAGAUAGAACUGGCACAAAAUCUGUAUGGAACAAAGAAGUUACAUUUAUUAUUCAAAGUACAACUCCCAUUGGGAACUUACAUAGGUAUCAUAUAAAUCAUGAUGGAAUAGGUCCUCUAACGAAGGACCAUUAUUAUGGGAAGCAGGUAGUCUCCAUUUAAAAUAAAAAGCUAGGCACAAUUAUACUGGUUGUUAGCAUGCAAGCAGCUAAAAGAGCCCUGUGUGUUACUAGGCACUAACCCUUACUACCUGAAAUGGAAUUGUCUGAUAGGAAAAUUGGGUAGGACUUUCUGUGGGAAAAAAUGCAAAUUGUGUACAAAGUUAUGCAUAUGAGUCUUAUGACUGAUAUUAGUGGUUUAAGGUUAAGUUUUUUGGCAAUGAAACAAAUAUUUUGGCUGUUCCUGAGGCCUGUGAGCUUUAUUAAGUACAUGAAUUACAAGUAAUCUGAUAGCAUAGUAUGUUCUCUUUGCUUCCCUAGGAUCCUUGAACCUUGACUGAAUCCCUUCAUCUGAGACAGGCGUUACUUUCACCAUUGUUUCUAUGACAGCUGAAUGUGAAUGGUGAAUGUAUCUUUGGAAGGCAGAAGAUGAGAUGCAUUGCCUUUUAGUGGUCAAGGUUUUUAUGUGUUGGUAUUGAGUUUUAUAUUAAGAUUUUGCAAAAGUGAAAAUAAGUUUUCCCUAGAGAGAUAAGAAAUAAAGGAAUAAGAUAUCUCUCCAUACAAUAACUCCUACUGUGAAAUUCUAGCCCUAUUUGUAAUGCUAGGUUAAUAGUUGGAAUUGAUGAUCUUAAAAAGGUCUAUGAUUCUAACAAGAGCUUUGCUACUGACUUCAGGAUGAUCACAGUUUUAGUCCUAAGGUGCAGCUGUGCUUUUCUAGGAAAGCUAAAGUAUAAAAUACAGCUUCUGCCAGCACAUCAUCAGUGCAAUAGGACGGGUAGAGGAAACACUGAAUUACAUCCAUAGCCAAUAACAGCUGCUGUGAGCAUCCUGAUGAUCAGUGUAUUAAUGUUAGUCACCAGCUUUUUGGGUUUGUAUAAGAUUAUUUUCUUCAAAUCUGAAUGAAGUAGACUCAAGGUGAAUUGGAGUUCUUUGUGGAACUGUGGUUAGUAUUUUUUUAAACUCUUUAAAGAAUGUCAGAUGUGGUAAAGCUUCUUAGAUUUUUAUUAAUAAAUAACACUGUUUAUAACUAACUAAGUUUUGAAGCCCUCCAAGGCACUGUUUAAUUUUUCAGCUCUCUUUUUUUGGUUCUGUCUAGUUCUGUAUUACCUUCCUAUCAUCAGGUCUUGCCUUUUGUAAAGCAGAUAUACUCAUACACACGUUUCUGGGAGGUAUUGUGCACGUCAUGAAAGAAGGAAAAUGACUCGUGAUUGGGAUCCCAGUCUUCACUGCCCCACAGCUCAGUGGGUAUGAGAUAGUGUGCUUGGCUAUCAGCAACACUGCACAGGGUCUUUGGCCAGUACAUUGGCUACAAGUCAUGGAUUGAAGACUGUUCCUUCAUAUCUUUCAGGCAGAGCUAACAUGCUCUUUUUGAUAGGGCUGUUAUGAUGUCAGCUAAGAAAAUAACUCUUUGAUGUGUUUGCAUGAGAAUGAAUCCUGUAGAUAAAAUUAUAUUGCAUAAUAGUUUCCUGCAGCUCCCCAGAUACUUAUUAGAGUAUUCGGAAAUUUAAUUCAGCCUCUCCCUAAGAAUUGAGAUCUCCACUUUGUACUUCUGAUUGCUUCUCUCAGCUCAAUUAAUGACAUGGACACACUUGUUCUUUCUCUGAAUAGUGUCUGGGUGCCUCCUGCCAGAGCAGUGGAGAUCACCUUCUGCUGAGCUCAUAGAUACACGCAGGAAUAGAGCCAUAAUGGGUGCUUCAGGGCAGUGUGUAAUAUCCUCUUCCAAAUUAAGGAGGCUCUGAGACCAGUCAGUUUUUCCCUGCCUGUAUUUGAUUGCACACUUGAAAUCAGCUGACUCUCGGAUCAAGUGGUGCCUUGUAGCUUUAAACUCAGCAGUGGCUGUCGUCUGUGUUAGGGAAUUUUUCUGUCACUAUAAAAGGCAAAACAAGACUAAAGAUACUAAAGAUGGCCCAGGAAUUUUUUGCAGUGAUCCUCCCUGAGAAACUUGAAAUUUCUUGAUUGCAAAUGGGAAAACUCUUGAAGCAGUAUGUGUACAUGGUAGCGAGAACUUGAGAAGGUAAGAAAAGGAUUUAUUUGAAUACUUUUCAAAAAUAAAGUGAAAAACAAUUAUGUAUAUCAAAUCAGAAUGAAAUAGAAUUUGUAGGGUGAGGUGACAAAGUCCUCCUACAAUCUGAAAGUAGUCAAGACUGGGCAAAGUUCUGCAUUGUGGUAUUAGAUGUCAACAUCCUGAUGUAUUCAGCUUGGCACAGUGAGACCACUUCAUUGCCUCAUUUCAUGCUAGUGUGUUUCAGGCUAUGUGCUGAAUAUUUCCAGUACUUGGCUUUUUAUACUAUGUGCAAUAGAUUAAAUUUUCCUAUUUUGACAGGGAAUAUCUGUAGCAGGAUGCCCUGAAAUGCCUUAGGGAUUCAAGCUGUCCCUUAAUCAAUGCUGCAGAGGAUGCAGUUUUGAUUUUUUUUUCUCUAAUAUAUGAACUAUGACACUAGAUUCAUCCUGGCAUACAUCUGUCAGACCAGACUGAAGGCAUUCAGUUAGAGACACUUCAUUACCAGCAUAGGGCCAACAAAUAGGAGACAAUCUAAAAAAGGGGGAUUGAAAUAUAACAUAGAUGGGAAAUAUAAGAUAUCUCAAAAUAAGGUCAUAAUGGAGGACAUAAAUUGCACAUCUUUGCAGACAGCAACAGGACAUCCUCAAAAUAUGCUACAGUAUCUGCAGUCUGAUACCAACUUUUACAAAUAUGCAACAAAUAUGGAUUGUUUCUGCAAAGAACAGCUAUGGGUCAAGAUGUAACAUAACAGAGAAAAUAACUCUGCAAAUAUAAAUAUUUAUUAUUAGUGGAGAGAAACUGCUUCCUACUAAAAUUGGCAAGAAUGAUGAAUCCAACCCUCUUAGUAUUUACUGGAGAAUUAGAAGGCUAAUGAGGUGCAGUGAAAAACCCUUUUCUGCCUUCUAGAAAAAUCAGCAAAGCUAACACUGUCAGACCAUAAUGAAGAAUACUCCAGCAUACUGAGAGCUACUGGGCUGCAGAUCCACCACUAAAAAUCUCCAGUGCUUGAUACUGACCCAAAAAGAGAAAAAUACAAAAUGAAAAAUCCUGCAUUAUCUGAAGGACAUGCAGAAUUUUUUUCCACCUGUAUUUUUUGUGAUUCUUAAUACUGGUGUGAAACACUGCUGGACUGCCAUACAGCAAAUUACAAGCAAGAGAUGAAUGUGUCUGGUUUGAUCUCUGAGCUUCUUUGAUUAGAUGCAGAUAAGAGUCAAUGUCAUCUCUACAUAUUGUGGCAUGUUUAACAUCUGCUGUGCCUUUCUGGGUUGGUUUGCAGUUUGAGUCCUUAACUUAUGACCUUUUCUUUUUUUUUUUUUGAUUUAGCCAUUGAUUACACCCUAGAAGAUGUGAUUCAUUUGAACUACAAAACCUCUGCUUGUUGUGGUACUAAUAAGCAUUGUGCCUACUGAAAGCUGUAGCAGAAGAGAGAGGGAGGAGGCCUAACAUGCUUGACACUGUCUUUUGUCUGUGUUGCAGCAAGGGGAGAAGGAAAGAUGUAUAGGAAUUGUCUUAUCAUCAUGCACACAUAUACACACACAUGAGCAUUUUUAUUUAUUUAUCUAAUCUCCUGGACACUUUUUCAAUGCCUGUCUUAACCCUUUGUUCUUAAAGUAAGCAAGGAAAAACUAUAUGACAGGCAUUUAAUUUUUUUCUUUCUCGAGAGCAGCUAGUAUCCCUUGUGUUGAGAAGAAAAUGGUACUGUGUGGAAAGCUAAAUUUCAAUUAACACAUCAAAGGGCAGUUUGUGGUGUUUUGCCUAUAACUAAGGCUUAACUGAGUUGCAGGACUCUGGGAAUUUCGUGUUUUCCUAUAUGCUCACUUAUUGCAUUCUUAGCUCUCCUACUUUUCUACUCUUCCUCUGCUUCUCCAAAUGGGACUAAUGAAAGCAGUAUAAUCUUGUCGAAUAUGGUUCUUGCUGAGGAAUUAGAUGAACAGCUGCUGGGAACAGUCUGGGAAUACAAUUUGGUGAAAAAAAAAGAGAUGAGAUACAAACAAAUUCCCUUAUGAUGCCAUUUAUUCUAUGUGCAGUAUUAUACCAGAGGGUGGAAAAAUGGGAAGGCCUAAAAUUGAAUUUCAAUUUGAGCUGGUUUAAAAAGAAGCAAUUCUACAUGCAUUGCAGCCACAGAAACAUAUAUUUAUAGGCACAGACUUUCACUUUGUAGGUAGAAACUGCACAGCUGUUUGUGUACAUUUGGUUUUUUACAUGCAUAAAAACUUACUUUUACAGGCACAACUAUUGUACUUUCUUCUCAGUAUUUCCCAAACAGUUAUGCUAAUUCCUACAU